RNAcentral lists this ribosomal RNA (1148 nucleotides) under Escherichia coli. RNAcentral describes it as "partial 23S ribosomal RNA". It matches the Rfam family "Bacterial large subunit ribosomal RNA", at positions 1 to 1191 of the family's 2925-position model. The record is from RNAcentral. Lineage: Bacteria; Pseudomonadati; Pseudomonadota; Gammaproteobacteria; Enterobacterales; Enterobacteriaceae.
GGUUAAGCGACUAAGCGUACACGGUGGAUGCCCUGGCAGUCAGAGGCGAUGAAGGACGUGCUAAUCUGCGAUAAGCGUCGGUAAGGUGAUAUGAACCGUUAUAACCGGCGAUUUCCGAAUGGGGAAACCCAGUGUGUUUCGGCACACUAUCAUUAACUGAAUCCAUAGGUUAAUGAGGCGAACCGGGGGAACUGAAACAUCUAAGUACCCCGAGGAAAAGAAAUCAACCGAGAUUCCCCCAGUAGCGGCGAGCGAACGGGGAGGAGCCCAGAGCCUGAAUCAGUGUGUGUGUUAGUGGAAGCGUCUGGAAAGGCGUGCGAUACAGGGUGACAGCCCCGUACACAAAAAUGCACAUACUGUGAGCUCGAUGAGUAGGGCGGGACACGUGGUAUCCUGUCUGAAUAUGGGGGGACCAUCCUCCAAGGCUAAAUACUCCUGACUGACCGAUAGUGAACCAGUACCGUGAGGGAAAGGCGAAAAGAACCCCGGCGAGGGGAGUGAAAAAGAACCUGAAACCGUGUACGUACAAGCAGUGGGAGCCUCUUAAUGGGGUGACUGCGUACCUUUUGUAUAAUGGGUCAGCGACUUAUAUUCUGUAGCAAGGUUAACCGAAUAGGGGAGCCGAAGGGAAACCGAGUCUUAACUGGGCGUUAAGUUGCAGGGUAUAGACCCGAAACCCGGUGAUCUAGCCAUGGGCAGGUUGAAGGUUGGGUAACACUAACUGGAGGACCGAACCGACUAAUGUUGAAAAAUUAGCGGAUGACUUGUGGCUGGGGGUGAAAGGCCAAUCAAACCGGGAGAUAGCUGGUUCUCCCCGAAAGCUAUUUAGGUAGCGCCUCGUGAAUUCAUCUCCGGGGGUAGAGCACUGUUUCGGCAAGGGGGUCAUCCCGACUUACCAACCCGAUGCAAACUGCGAAUACCGGAGAAUGUUAUCACGGGAGACACACGGCGGGUGCUAACGUCCGUCGUGAAGAGGGAAACAACCCAGACCGCCAGCUAAGGUCCCAAAGUCAUGGUUAAGUGGGAAACGAUGUGGGAAGGCCCAGACAGCCAGGAUGUUGGCUUAGAAGCAGCCAUCAUUUAAAGAAAGCGUAAUAGCUCACUGGUCGAGUCGGCCUGCGCGGAAGAUGUAACGGGGCUAAACCAUG